UACGAGGGGGGCGAGCGUUGUUCGGAAUUAUUGGGCGUAAAGGGCGCGUAGGCGGCAAGGCAAGUCGGGGGUGAAAGCUUGGGGCUUAACCCCGAAAGGGCACUCGAAACUGCCCUGCUAGAGGGCCGGAGAGGAGAUCGGAAUUCACGGUGUAGCAGUGAAAUGCGUAGAGCUCGUGAGGAAGACCGGUGGCGAAGGCGGAUCUCUGGACGGCCCCUGACGCUGAGGCGCGAAGGCUAGGGGAGCAAACGGG
RNAcentral lists this ribosomal RNA (253 nucleotides) under uncultured bacterium. RNAcentral's name for it is "partial 16S ribosomal RNA". It matches the Rfam family "Bacterial small subunit ribosomal RNA", at positions 524 to 776 of the family's 1533-position model. The record is from RNAcentral.